This 1038-nucleotide ribosomal RNA is filed under the name Gallibacterium anatis. Its description in RNAcentral is "partial 23S ribosomal RNA". It matches the Rfam family "Bacterial large subunit ribosomal RNA", at positions 591 to 1528 of the family's 2925-position model. The record is from RNAcentral. Lineage: Bacteria; Pseudomonadati; Pseudomonadota; Gammaproteobacteria; Pasteurellales; Pasteurellaceae.
GGGUGACUGCGUACCUUUUGUAUAAUGGGUCAGCGACUUAUAUUUUGUAGCGAGGUUAACCGGAUAGGGGAGCCGAAGGGAAACCGAGUCUUAACUGGGCGGUUAGUUGCAAGAUAUAGACCCGAAACCCGGUGAUCUAGCCAUGGGCAGGAAGAAGGUUGGGUAACACUAACUGGAGGGCCGAACCGACUACUGUUGAAAAAGUAGCGGAUGACCUGUGGCUGGGGGUGAAAGGCCAAUCAAACCGGGAGAUAGCUGGUUCUCCCCGAAAUCUAUUUAGGUAGAGCCUUAUAUGAAUACCUUCGGGGGUAGAGCACUGUUUCGGCUAGGGGUCCAUCCCGGAUUACCAACCCGAUGCAAACUGCGAAUACCGAAGAGUAAUGUAUAGGAGACACACGGCGGGUGCUAACGUUCGUCGUGGAGAGGGAAACAACCCAGACCGCCAGCUAAGGUCCCAAAGUCUAUAUUAAGUGGGAAACGAAGUGGAAAGGCUUAGACAGCUAGGAUGUUGGCUUAGAAGCAGCCAUCAUUUAAAGAAAGCGUAAUAGCUCACUAGUCGAGUCGGUCUGCGCGGAAGAUGUAACGGGGCUAAAAUAUAGCACCGAAGCUGCGGCAUCAGGCGUAUCACACAUACGCCUUACGAUUAACACCUUGCGAAGCAAGGUGGUCAAGCGACUUACACGUUGAGGUGUGAGCGGGAGGGAUAAUCGAAGAGAGGAAUAUGUGUGAUACGUCUGUUGGGUAGGGGAGCGUUGUGUAAGCUGAAGAAGGUGGUUCGAGAGGGCUGCUGGAGGUAUCACAAGUGCGAAUGCUGACAUAAGUAACGAUAAAGCGGGUGAAAGGCCCGCUCGCCGGAAGACCAAGGUUUCCUGUCCAACGUUAAUCGGGGCAGGGUGAGUCGGCCCCUAAGGCGAGGCUGAGAAGCGUAGUCGAUGGGAAAUGGGUUAAUAUUCCCAUACUUGGAUAAACUGCGAUGUGGGGACGGAGCAGGUUAGGUUAGCGUACGGAUGGAAGAGUACGUUUAAGUUGGUAGGUGGG